GAUUCUACAGGUCAGAGAGACGUGUUUUGUCUGAUUCUACAGGUCAGAGAGACGUGUUUUGUCUGAUUCUACAGGUCAGAGAGACGUGUUUUGUCUGAUUCUACAGGUCAGAGACGUGUUUUGUCUGAUUCUACAGGUCAGAGACGUGUUUUGUCUGAUUCUACAGGUCAGAGAGACGUGUUUUGUCUGAUUCUACAGGUCAGAGAGACGUGUUUUGUUAGCAGAUUUUGAAGACCUCCUUGCUCACCUCCAAUUUACUCAUGUCAAAAAAUUGUAACGAUAACUCUUCUAUAUACAGGAAGUACCAUUACUGAGUCUAUAUACAGG
Molecule: long non-coding RNA, 327 nt
Filed under: Oncorhynchus mykiss (rainbow trout)
Lineage: Eukaryota; Metazoa; Chordata; Actinopteri; Salmoniformes; Salmonidae
Description: lncRNA (ENSOMYG00000048596.1)
Source: RNAcentral